Molecule: ribosomal RNA, 409 nt
Filed under: Azospira sp.
Lineage: Bacteria; Pseudomonadati; Pseudomonadota; Betaproteobacteria; Rhodocyclales; Rhodocyclaceae
Description: bacterial SSU rRNA
Rfam family: Bacterial small subunit ribosomal RNA
Source: RNAcentral
ACAGCAGUGUGGAAUUUUGGACAAUGGGGGCAACCCUGAUCCAGCCAUGCCGCGUGAGUGAAGAAGGCCUUCGGGUUGUAAAGCUCUUUCGGCGGGGAAGAAAUGGCAACGGCUAAUAUCCGUUGUUGAUGACGGUACCCGCAUAAGAAGCACCGGCUAACUACGUGCCAGCAGCCGCGGUAAUACGUAGGGUGCGAGCGUUAAUCGGAAUUACUGGGCGUAAAGCGUGCGCAGGCGGUUUCGUAAGACAGACGUGAAAUCCCCGGGCUCAACCUGGGAACUGCGUUUGUGACUGCGAGGCUAGAGUACGGCAGAGGGGGGUAGAAUUCCACGUGUAGCAGUGAAAUGCGUAGAGAUGUGGAGGAAUACCGAUGGCGAAGGCAGCCCCCUGGGUUAGUACUGACGCUCA